Molecule: long non-coding RNA, 283 nt
Organism: Limulus polyphemus (Atlantic horseshoe crab)
Lineage: Eukaryota; Metazoa; Arthropoda; Merostomata; Xiphosura; Limulidae
Exons: 2
Source: RefSeq, a predicted model, not a curated record
GGACACGGCGGUUUAGGCGGAGGAGGCUUCAGAGGAGGUGGAGGCUUGGGACAAGGUGCAGGCUUCGGAGUAGGAUUUGGUAGUGGAGGUGGUCUUGGAGGUGGAUCACGAGGAUCUAAGGGCGGCGGUAGCUAUGGGAAACCUUGCAACUCCUGUGGAGGAGGAAGCCAUGGAUGGUAAUGUUGAACUUAGCAGAUGGAAACAGAGAAAACUCUUCAUCAUCGUAUCCAUAUCUUCACAUUUUUUAUUAUUAUUAUCAAAAAUAAAAACAAACUUAUCCUUC